Long non-coding RNA from Ictalurus punctatus (channel catfish), 1064 nucleotides. The record is from Ensembl. Lineage: Eukaryota; Metazoa; Chordata; Actinopteri; Siluriformes; Ictaluridae.
AAAAAAGGUGGGUGUUAAGAGAGAGUGAGAGAGAGAGACGAAAAAAGAUAGACUGGAUAAAUAAAUAUUGGUUACAUAAUUCUGUGUUUGUCAAUCUCAGAAAUUCUCAGAAUGUCAUUGACUUUGAAAACACAAUUUUUUAAAAUUUUUAUUUAUGAAAUAUUAAAUUAUUUUUUUGUACUUGCACCACGUUUGCACCAUUUUCCUAGAACGACAAAUCCUGACAUUUGGAUUCAUGCGCAAUAAGCAUAGAAAAAACAAGACUGUAAUACUUUCACAUUGCUACAUAAAUGGUGAAUUCAAAUAUUAUCCCUCUGUCACUCUUACAUCAUGACCAGUGCAGCUAUCUAAAACUCACAGCUCAUUGUUGACCUUUUACAAUAUCAGCACAAAUGCUCUCUAUGUUGUCUGAUUAUGUUGGAAUUGGUUGCACAGUUCCAAAGUCCAAAAUAACUAACAAAUGAGGACCCCAGGCUGAGAUCAGAGGCCUAACGCUCGGUUGUUGCCACACUCUCUGUGUGUUGGCUCGCCUCAAGUCUUAGGGCUCGCUGAGUCAGAGGCAUUUGAAAUGUUCCCACUUUCCCAAGAGAGCAGUGAAGAUGGUCCAACAACUCAGGCUGUGAAACUUCCAAGGAGCCAGAACGAGCCUUUGAAGCGGUGAGGAAAAACAAGCAGCUCGUUUUGUGUGUUCACACCCCACCAUACACUCACAGCAAGAGAGACAGACAGGACAAGGAGAGAAAACCAGAGGACAUUAGUGUGUUUCCAUACUCUCCACACAGGUUACUUCAAGACUUGCAUACAGGAGCACAUCAUCUGAGAUUUCAGCUGUCACUGAAGAGCCAAGUCUGUAAUUAAGCCUCCAUUCAGGAAAUACAUAAAUAACCAACAGAUAGAGAACGCACCGAAACCAAUUUUCCUCCAAAAGACAUAACGAUGAUUAAUAGAGACAUUAAUUCAGAAGAGGCAUUAAUAUAUGGAAAGAGAAGAGUUCACCUGGAGCAAUACAAUGUCCAUUCUAGGUUCGAUUCCUGGAUGGUCUGGCUCUCUGAGGGCAGUGGUAG